Long non-coding RNA from Gorilla gorilla gorilla (western lowland gorilla), 2779 nucleotides. RefSeq lists it as uncharacterized. The transcript has 3 exons. NCBI's taxonomy places the organism in Eukaryota, Metazoa, Chordata, Mammalia, Primates, Hominidae. The record is from RefSeq and is a predicted model, not a curated record.
GCGCUCGCGAGUCGGCUUUUUCGCCCUGGCCGCGCUCCUGAUGCCUCCCGGCCGCCGUAGGCGAAGGUUAGCGGAAGAGGGGAGCAGGCGCUCACCUGAGCUGACUCAGAAAUUGGAAUGAGUUGUCUGUGGAUCCUAUAAGGAGCCUGGACAUGGUGAAGAGAAUGCCUUGACCAUGAAGAGACAGCUUACCUUGCUGAAUCUUGAUGACUUCUUCUGACCACUUUGGAUCUUAAAAGAACAAGAAAGGUGCAGCCUCUGAGUGACUCACCACAGUAACUCACAAGCUGUAUGUUUCCAUGGCCCACAGGUACACAAGCAAACUUUUGGUCUUUUUCAAGGUAAAGUACAAUGUGCGUUGUAGUACUUAUAUAUUUCUUAACCAUUUAACAUCUGUAAAACCAUGCAACCAUUUUUAUUUGUUUCUUUAAAUGUGUCAAUAUUGAAGUUUUUGAAUGUUAUGCCGUGUGAUUUUGCUUAGCGAAGUGAUUUGUAGGAAUGCAUAUAUUAUAUCAGAACUGAUUGUACUUAGAUGCUUGCCUCUGAUGUAAUGAAUUAGUUUGAAUUUAAGAGAAAACAAUAUUCAAUUGAAUAUUGUUGACACUUUUUCUUUAUAUUUGACAUUUUGAAAUAAAAAUGUAACAGGUAUAUUAUUAAUGGUAAAAACUGCAAUUACUUUUGUACCAACCUAAUUGGACCUAUGCAUAGAAUUAUCUUAGUGGAGCAGCUCAAAUGUGGAUCAAAGCAGUUGAGCUACUCUGGUGACUCAUAUACCAGUAGUGCCACUGUUGUAAAUGUCUGAUUUUUCUAAAUGAUGAAUAACUUCUGAAGUUCUGAGCAAAACAAAGUAUACUUUUCCCUUCAUUUACACAGCAGUCGCUUUCCUGGAGAAUUGAUUUACAUUAGCCCCAUGCAAAAAAUACCUAUAUUUAUAAGUAAAAUGAAAUCAGCUUCUGGUCAUUUUUAUACAUAUGUAUAGGGAUUGGCAUGUGGGAAUGGGAAGUGAGACAGUUCUCUUAUCCACUAUGCAAUAUCCAAGCCCCUGCUCACUAAAUGCCACAGUGUCCCCUCCCCCUUACGUGACAACCCAAACUGCCCCCACACAUUUCCAGCAUGUCCUCUGGUGAACCAUUGGCCUGUAGCAAUGGACUUAUAAGCUAUAAUUAGGAUCAACAUAAAUUUCUUAGCUUAAGAAAAUAACUGCAGAAAACAGAAUGGAGAGAAUGAUUAAGCACAAGAAAGGCUAAGAAGAGUUCAGAGACUUUUGUGGACAGAAAAUGAAGUAUUAGUAAAUAAUGUUAAGAGACCUAAUGUCCUCAGGCUGAUUGGAAGAAGUACAAUAACUGGAUCAGUGCUGUCUCAUAGAAAUACAAUGUGAAUACAUAUGUAAUAUUAAAUUUUCUAGUAAGCAAAUUAAAAAAGAUAAGAAAUAGGCGAAUUGACUUGAAUAUAUUUUAUUUAAAACAACAUACAGAAAAUAUUAUUGUUCUGAGAUGUAAUCGAUAUAAAAAGUGUAUUAAUCAGAUCCUUAAUUUUUUUUUCUGCACUAAGUCUUUCAAAAUCUGGGAGUAUUUGCUCACAGUAUAGCUCACAUUUCAAGAGCCCAUGGGUUCUGUUUUGCUCCUGGGCAAGUCUUAUUUGGUUAUCACAGCACUUAAAAAUGGAAUUCUGUGUUUUCUAGGAUGCUGCUGAGGGUGGGAUGAGAAGUCCCAACUCAAACUGUCUUAAACAACGAAAACAUUUGUUCUCAUACAGAAAUUAGAGUUAGGGUACGCUCUAGGACUGGUUGGUUCAGCGAUUCGUGGCGUCAUCAAGGAUGCAGGUGCCUUCCAUGUUUCCAUCCUGAUUUUCUCAACGCGGGGCCUGCUCCUCAGGGUUGUAAGGUCGUGGCCAGUGGCAAGAUGGCGGCUCAUGCUUCUUUGUUUGUGUCCAACAGCAGGGAUGAAGACAUUUUUCCCUAAAAUAUGAAAUAUCCAUUCUUUCUUUCAGUCAUAUUGGGCAAAUAUGCCAUAUCUCGACUGACUUACACAAAUCAUCUGGGUCAGAAUAUUGGAUCCCUUCUUGUGAUUGAUGCAAGAAUGGCUUUGGCUGGGCAUUUUCUUUUCAUUUACUCACCAUGAGGCACACUAUUUCUUGUUGUCUUGUACUUGCUUUCUUUAUUCAGUUACUCUACGUGUCUGUCCCUGGAAGUGUUUGAGUUUGUGGCUGCCUCUUAAACACAGGCUCCAAUCAUUGUUGACGGAGCCACACAUGCAACGUUGCAUUAAAUUUUGAUGUGAGAGGAUUUAAGAGAAUGAGAGGAGGUUUACAGGAGAGAGCUAAAGUGAAAAGGGAAUUGACAUCAUGUCGUAUGAGGAAAGUUGAAGGGAAUGGCCUUGUAAACCUAUGAGAAGUGCAGGGCUUGUGGGUGGGAUAGAAUACCCUCAUCUUAUCGAUGAGGGUAUGUCUACUUGUAGCAGUUCUGUGCUCCCAUCAAAUUAGCUGCUUCAGCCGGGCAUGGUGGCUCAUGCCUGUAAUCCCAGCACUUUGGGAGGCUCAGGCGGGCAAAUCACUUGAGGUCAGGAGUUCGAGACCAGUCUGGCCAACAUGGUGAAACCCCUCUCUACUAAAAAUAUCAAAAUUAGCUGGGAGUGGUGGCGAGCGCCUGUAAUUCCAGUUACUCAGGAGGCUGAGGCAGGAGAAUUGCUGAACUUGGGAGGCGGAGGUUGCAGUGAGCUGACAUGGCGCCACUACAUUGCAGCCUGGGCGAUAGAGCAAGACUCUGUCUCCAAAAAAAAAA